UUUUUUUUUUUUUGUCUGAGACAGUGCCUCACUAUGCAGUGUAGGCUGGCCAUGCACUCAUUAUGUAGCCCAGGUGUGGGCUGCCAGGCCUGGCCAGGCCAGCAUUUCACUGUCUGCACUCUGACAGGAUUUAGCCCAGAUGACGGGUGUUGUUGGUGAUAUAGAUCGAGGAAGGCAGGAAGCGGAGAGAGACUGCUGAGGUGCUGCGGAGGGCCAGCACCCCUGCCUCCAGCUGGCCCUCUCCGCCCAGGGUGGCAGGACAGGCUGUAAGGAUAAUCCCUUUGUCCACACCACUCCCCUCCACCCAAUCGGCUGGCUGCCCAUUCCCUCUGCCAGCCACUGUUCCCUGUCAGCUGCCAAGCUGGGCCACAGUCCAGGACAUUGUGUGCAGAGAGAGGUCCUAGUGCCCCCCUCCAGCAUGGCACUGACCUGCCCCGCACCUGGGCUGUGAGCCAAGCUUGUCUGUCCCCAGCGCUGGCUUUGACUAGAGUCCAGAGCUGCCCUUGCAGAGGCUGGGCUAAUUAAUGUCCACCUUCCAGCCUUGCUUGACUCCGUGGGGAUCCAAGUCCAUGGGUCAGGCUUCCAGGUGCCUCUUGGGGGCAGCCUGCCAGGCUCCUGAGACACCUCCUUUUCGGCCCUUGGCGGAUCCACAGUGAGAGCCAGCUGGGUGGACCUGCGCCUGGGAGCUGGGCGUGGCCUUGCUCCCGUGCAUCACAGAUGGAAAGCCAAGCUGCACGGAGAGGGGAGCUCCCACAGUCACACAGCUGGGGCAGAGGCUCCUCGGUGCCAAUAAGAGGGGCUGCGGGCCAGGGGAGGUGGGGCAACCUAAUGGGGAAGGGGUGUAGCUCCUCUCCUGUCCAAGGCUUCGUUUAACUGCCACCUCCCAGAGAAGCCCUCCCUGGCUCCCGGCCCUGCUUUCUAGAGGAAGGGGCUCUGACGCAGCCCUCUGCUGCUUCACCUCAGGUGUCCCCAAGGCCAUCAUGUCCACAUGGGCUGUCUCCUUCCUCCACUCUUCCUCCCUUCUCUUCUUUAUUUUGCAUUACUGGGGAAGGGACCCAGGACCCAGCACUCUGUCAAUGAGCUACAUCCCUGGCUGGUUUUAUUUUUUAUUUUGAGACAAGGUCUGGGUGAGUGACUCUGGCUGGGCUCAAACUAUGAAUUAUCAACCCUUCCUGCCUCAGCCACCAGGUAGCUGGGUUACAUGCUUGCUCCAUGGUGCCAGUCCAGUGACAGUUCUUCAUACACAAGUUCUAAAAUGCAUGGUCUGGAAUAUUUUCUCUGUCUAUGUUUAUCCUUUCAUUCUUUUAACAGUGCCUCCCUAGGACAAGUUCUUCAUUUUGCUGACAUCAAUCUCUCCAUUUUUCUCUUGUGGAUCGUGGCUUCAGAGGAUGUCUAUGAAAUCUUUGCCUCAGCAAGACCACAGAACUCUCUUCAGCUUUCUUGGAAAGUGAGGAUAGAGUCCAGGACCUCGGCGUGCAGUGGGACAAACACUACUGCCAACUGUGUCCUGGCCCCUGGGCUCCAUGUUGAAUGCUGAGCGUGCAAUGCGGAAGGAAGGCAAUGAGGGCAGAGCUGCAAGAGGACCCGGAAGUCUCGGCACCUGUCAGGCCUUUUCCCUGGAGCAGGCCUGGACUUCUUGGCCUGCCCUAGACCUGCAGCAGUUUUUUUUGUUUUGUUUUUUUGUUUUGUUUUAAACAGGGUCUCGCUGUGCAAUUCAGGCUGGCCUUAAGUGCACUUUGUAGCCCAGGCUGGUCUCAAGCUCACAAUGAUCCUCCUGCCUCAGCCUCCGCAGUGCUGGGAUUACAGGAGUGAGCCAUCACACCAGGAAACCUAUAGGAGUUUGAUGAGGUUCUUUCCUGAGGGCCUCCGGCAGGGUCAGCCUGUCUGUCAUUUUAAUGCCCUCCUCCCUGGCAAAGGUACCACUGAGCAGGGUCCUCCUGGCGCUCCUUCCCAGGGCAGGAGCAGAAGAGGUGCUGGCCAGGGGAGCAGCACACAUGGCCUCGCUGGACAGCCCCGCUGUCCUUUUCCUCUGGUACCCAGGGACAGAUGUGGAGAGAGCUUCAAGGUCACACAAUGAAUUAGCCUCCAUGACCUGGCACCCACUUCUCUUGCUGGCAGUGAAAUUCUCCAGGUGAACAACAGGGCCUGGGGACUUCCGGUCUGGGUGCAGGAUAUACUGGCCAGUCUGGCUGGGGACUUCCGGUCUGGGUGCAGGAUAUACUGGGCCAGUCUGGCUGGCAGGCCCAGGGAGAGGAGGGUGGGUUCCCCUCCACCCUGGGCUCCUUCAUGGGGAGACAGUGAGACCCUGGGUUUAGAAACACUGAUUCCCACUGCAGAGUUUGCCUCUCCUUCUCCAGGCAGAAACUCCCAGAGAUUUUGGGGACACAUGUAGAGGGGUCUGCCUCCUCCCGAGGUGGGAGGCUGGUCCCUGGAGAUGAGAGCUGUGGAGCUCCUGGCAGGCAGAUGCCAGGGAGAAGCAGUAAAGGCUCUGCCCGCCUGGAUUUCCUUUUCCGCCCUACCUGGCCCUGGUGCUGGUAAGCUUGGGGUUUGGCCUGUUUAUUGAAGCCAGGAAGCUGCUGGGCUAGGCUGGCUGCUGGCACUGGGGCUGGACAAUAAUGACCAGGAUGAUAAAAAUGCUGCUUAUAGCAGGGCAUAGUGGCCAUGCUGUAAUCCCAGCACUUGGGAGGCUGAGGCAGGAGGAUGAUUGCAAGUUGGGGACCAGCCUGGGCUACAAAAUGAGCUCAAGGCCAGCCUGAACCACAUAGGGAGCCCUGUCUCAGUCGAAGAAAAAAAAAAAAAAAAGGGAAGGAAAUACCACUUGCCAUUGUUUGUUUACACCAGACAACUUGUGCACUCAGCAUUUCCCACUCAUUUUAUUUUUGCCAGGAGGUGUAAUUUAUUAGCCCCGUUUACGAAGUGUGGGAACUUGGGUCCCAAAGGCAGUGAGGUGACUUGCUCAAGGUCCCCCAGCUGGGAAGUGGCAGGGGUGGGAUUGGGGGUUAUGCUUUUUUUGUUCUUUUUCUUUUGCUUGAGAAAAAUAAAGGAGGAGGGCUGCUUUGCUAUGCAGUUUAGGCAGGCCUUGAACUCAGGUAAUGGUCUUGCCUCAACCUCCCGCAUGCUGAGAUGACAGGCGUGCACCACCACACCUGGCCCUGGAUGCUGUGAUUCUAGCAAGAGGACCAUCUCUCUUCAGUGGACCCCAGGUUCCCUGAGGAGGGACACUGCCUUGCUUUUCUCCUCGCAUUCUCUCCACCUCCAGGAAGCUCAGAUCUGGGGGUACCCAGGUCCCUGGUGCAGAGCUAUCCUGAAAUUGCUUUCCUACCUGUGUUCCCAGGGCAGCUCAAUGUACAGGAGAGGUUUGUCAAGAACAUAAACGAGUGGCUGGGGAUUUAGCUCAAUGGCACAAGCACCUGCCUGGCAAGUGUAAGGUUUUGAGUUUGAUUUCCAGUACCAAGAAAAAAAGGAACUUAAAUGAGUAGGGUGCCAUGGUGCUUACUGGUUUCUCAGCACCUGGGAGGCUGAGGCAGGAGGAUCACAGUUUGUGGCCAGCAUGGGCUGUCAAGUGAGUUCAAGAUCAGCUUGGUCUACAUACAGAGACCCUGCCUCACCUUAUACCCCAAAGAAGAUAAGCGAGGAUUUUUGGGAAAUGGGACAGAAAGAGGUGCUGCUGCCGGGAACUCUGAGCCUACCAGAAAACUGUAUCUUCCCCUCCAGCAGGGCAGAGGCCACAGGCACCCCCUCGCCCCUUGGAGCUUUUUGCUGUGCCUCUUCAGAGUUGGAUAUACCUGGAGAAGGACGGAGGCUGAAUGUAGAAGUGAAUCAGCUGUGUGGAGGACAAGCAUCACCCCGGCCCUUCACAUCUGUGUGACAGCACAUGGCAGCAGGUGACGAUGACAGUGCUCAGCACAUGACUCCAGUCACGCUUGUGAGAAGCAGGUGAGGUGUCACCCCACCCUGGCUGUGGGGCACAGACACGGAGCAGGCUGGGCCACUUGCUGUUGAGGAGGAAGGCGAGACUCCAAGUGGCCUUGUGUCCUGGCCAAGGCUCUGGGGACUGUCCAGAGGUUGACACCGGGCUCAAAGGCUCCUAACUCUCACAUUGGGCCUUUUGUUGCCCCUCGAGCCCUGGGUCUCACCUGUCCCAGGUCGGAGGAGUUGCUCCCCCAGGGCCGUGAGCGCAGCUGUGUCAAGUUUAACACAAGGUGACUGAUAGUGGGCACUUGUUCUCUGACACUACUGCAGGCCACGGAUUGGGGAAACGGUGCCAGACACUGGUUAGACCCCCAGCCCAGUGUGCACUGUUUCUGGGCUUAGGCAGCCAGUCUAACUCGGGCCCAUCUCUCGGCUUCCAGACGGAGGCAACUCUAUAUUCUGGUGGUUAAACCCCAAAGGUUAACAUAAGAUUCACAAACACCUGCAAGUACCCUGGGCCCAGCUCAGCCAGCGCCUUGGGUGGCUCAGAUGGCAAGGGAGGCAGUGGCUGAGAGAUCCAGGAAAUCGGCCCCUUAAGGAACCUAGCUCGAAAGUGCAAAGGACAGGGUGUGGCGCUGAAAGGCUACAGGGUCAAUUCUGUCCACCCCAGACUUGGUCACUGUGAGCAUUGCUAAUCAUCCCCUGGCAGACAGGGACUGGGCUGCCUGUCUUCUCUAUCCUGAAGGGGACCCCAGAAUCACAACAAACUAGGAACAAGCAGAGGGUUAUUAUAUAUUCAUGCUUUUAAUACAAACUUAAAAAAAUCUGGAACAAUAUAAACUGUACAGAUUUGAUCAAUCUUUUUUGUUGUUUUUAAACUAAAUCUCUAAACACACCAAUGUUCCAUUCCAAAAUAUUGCACAACAUUCUGAAUACAAAAUGCUUGAUUGUAUUCCUCCUUCACUAAAGAAAAAAAAGGUUAUUACCCUGCUCCCCUGGCCCCUCUCCACGCUUGCCUCAAUGUCCCCUUCCCGUCCCUAGGGAAAAAACUAGAGAUUCUAGAGUCACUGCAUUGAGAAAAAGACACCAUUCUGGACUGACAGUGUACAUUCUUUACAAGAUAACCCACCUUCGACUUGUUCCUGGGAAAGAGGGAUAGACAGGAUGGGGAAAGGGGAGAAAAAGGCUUUAUUCUCCUCUUUUUUUAUUUUAAAGUUUGUUUUUUCCUGAAAAAAUAUUGGUUUCUCUCCUCUUUUUAAGAAAAAACUCUUGAAAAGAAAAAAAUUACGUUUCUUACGUUAGAAAUAUACAUAUAUUAUAUAUACCUCUUACAUUUUACAAAUGUAGCAAA
Molecule: long non-coding RNA, 5263 nt
Organism: Cavia porcellus (domestic guinea pig)
Lineage: Eukaryota; Metazoa; Chordata; Mammalia; Rodentia; Caviidae
Exons: 2
Source: RefSeq, a predicted model, not a curated record